RNAcentral lists this small RNA (78 nucleotides) under Roseibium sp. TrichSKD4. RNAcentral's name for it is "suhB". The stretch from base 1 to 70 matches the Rfam family "Alphaproteobacterial sRNA BjrC1505", at positions 68 to 140 of the family's 140-position model. The record is from RNAcentral. Lineage: Bacteria; Pseudomonadati; Pseudomonadota; Alphaproteobacteria; Hyphomicrobiales; Stappiaceae.
GGCUCCUGUCCACUCUGUUUGACGCCUCCCUGUUAAAGACUUCGAGCCGCGGUAACGCGGCUCUUUUUUUUGCCGCCA